AAAAAACUUUUCAAAAUCCAAACCUGGCACACAAAAAAAAAUAAAAUUCCUUUUCAAAUCGUUCGCCCUCCUCUCGCCCCCAAAAAAAAAUUACUCGAUCAAACAAAUUUAAUCUCUUAUAUAUUAUUUUAAUCUCUUAUUUACUUAAUUUAUUUUUUAUUUUGAGGCAUAAUAUAGUUUGCUAUUUUUACUUAAUUAGCUUAAUUUUGUAGUUUUUUUAUAUUCUUAAGAAAUAUGAGUAAUUAUGCUAAAAGCAUAAAUUUUGAGAGAAAAUUUUUUUAAUUUAAUAGCCGAAUUUUUUAUCCCGAAUUUUUAAUUAGUGAACGUAUAAUAUCCGUAUGAACCACGUAUCCGAGUAAUUAGUAGAUUCAUUUUUUAACCGUAUUUUUCAACGAAUUUAAAAUUAGAAGAGAAAUUUUAUCCGAAUUAUAUCCGUACCGAAUUUUUACCGAAUCCGAAUUAACUAACUAUAAUUCCAACAGCAUAAAUAAAGCAUAAAGUAAUUCUCAAAAAA
This 514-nucleotide long non-coding RNA is filed under the name Ananas comosus (pineapple). RNAcentral describes it as "long non-coding RNA (ACOM_LNC018935)". Lineage: Eukaryota; Viridiplantae; Streptophyta; Magnoliopsida; Poales; Bromeliaceae. The record is from RNAcentral.